This 259-nucleotide unclassified non-coding RNA is filed under the name uncultured fungus. Its description in RNAcentral is "partial contains small subunit ribosomal RNA, internal transcribed spacer 1, and 5.8S ribosomal RNA". The stretch from base 1 to 73 matches the Rfam family "Eukaryotic small subunit ribosomal RNA", at positions 1759 to 1831 of the family's 1831-position model. The record is from RNAcentral. Lineage: Eukaryota; Fungi.
GCAAACUUGGUCAUUUAGAGGAAGUAAAAGUCGUAACAAGGUUUCCGUAGGUGAACCUGCGGAAGGAUCAUUACCGUGGGGAUCUCGCGAUCCCUGCCGAGAUAGAACCCUUGCCUUUGCGUAUUCUGUUUCCUCGGCGGGUUCGCUCGCCAAUGGGGACAACCUAAACCCUUUGUUAUAGCAGUACACGUCCUAAAACAAAAUCGUUAAAACUUUCAACAACGGAUCUCUUGGUUCUGGCAUCGAUGAAGAACGCAGC